This is a long non-coding RNA of Leucoraja erinaceus (little skate), 1139 nucleotides long. RefSeq lists it as uncharacterized. The transcript is spliced from 2 exons. Lineage: Eukaryota; Metazoa; Chordata; Chondrichthyes; Rajiformes; Rajidae. The record is from RefSeq and is a predicted model, not a curated record.
AACUGUUUACCAUAUAUAUUAAUGAUUUGGAAGAGGGAAUUAGGAGCAACACUAGCAAGUUUGCGGAUGACACAAAGCUGGGUGGCAGUGUGAACUGUGAAGAGGAUGUUAGGAGGUUGCAGGGAGACCUGGACAGGUUGAGUGAGUGGGCAGAUGCGUGGCAGAUGCAGUAUAAUAUAGAUAAAUGUGAGGUUAUCCACUUUGGCGGCAAAAACAAGGAGGCAGAUUAAUAUCUCAAUGGGGUUAGGUUAGGCAAGGGGGAGGUGCAGCGAGACCUGGGUGUCCUUGUACACCAGUCACUGAAAGUUGGAGUGCAGGUACAGCAGGCAGUGAAGAAAGCUAAUGGAAUGUUGGCCUUCAUAACAAGAGGAUUUCAGUAUAGGAGUAAAGAGGUUCUUCUGCAGUUGUAUAGGGCUCUGGUGAGACCACAUUUGGAGUAUUGUGUACAGUUUUGGUCUCCUAAUUUGAGGAAGGACAUCCUUGUGAUUGAGGCAGUGUAGCCUAGGUUCACGAGAUUGAUCCCUGGGAUGGUGGGACUGUCAUAUGAGGAGAGAUUGAAAAGACUAGGCUUGUAUUCACUGGAGUUUAGAAGGAUGAGGUGCGUUCAGAACCAGAGGCCACAGUCUUAGAAUAAAGGGGAAUCCAUUUAAGACUGAGGUCAGAAAAAACUUUUUCACGCUAGAGAAUUGUGAAUUUGUGGAAAUCCCUGCCGCAGAGGGCAGUGGAGGCCAAGUCAUUGGAUGGAUUUUAGAUAGAGUUAGAUAGAGCUCUUGGGGCUAGUGGAAUCAAGGUAUAUGGGGAGAAGGCAGGCAUGGGUUAUUGAUUGGGGACGAUCAGCCAUGAUCACAAUGAAUGGCGGUGCUGGCUCAAGGGGCCAAAUGGCCUCCAACUGCACCUAUUUUCUAUGUUUCUAUUUCUAUGUUAGGUUAUUCUCCAAGAUUGACCUAGUCCGGGGAUAUCACCGGAUCCUUGAGCGACCAGAAGAUGUCCCCAAGAUGAUUUAGCGAUUCAGAUGGGAUUCAGGCACAAUGAAUUCUUGCAUUUUCAGCCUCUAUCAGUUUUUGAAAGUGAUGUGACCAGACCAGACCAGACAGUGAGAGCAAUGAAAAACGCUGGCAUUCUGAAUCAGGCUUUCAAAG